Long non-coding RNA from Oryzias melastigma (Indian medaka), 1027 nucleotides. RefSeq lists it as uncharacterized. Lineage: Eukaryota; Metazoa; Chordata; Actinopteri; Beloniformes; Adrianichthyidae. The record is from RefSeq and is a predicted model, not a curated record. The transcript has 3 exons.
UGACAAGCUCAUAUUGAUUAGAACGGUCAAACUGUUUCAAUCUAAGAGAGAAAAUAAAAAAGUUCGACAAUUAUAAAAUAAAUAUUGUACUUGUUUCUUUUGAUAUUUUUUAAGAUUAGCUUUUAUUAUCGGCGUAAGAUUGUGUCAAACAGCGUUCAGCUGUCAGCUUUGCCGUUCACAAUUCGUCUGACGUCACCGUGAAAAGGUGUUCCGGUUUUCACUCCUGAGCUGACCCUCUUUUUACAUGGGGGCGGGGCUUUGAGCUCAUUGGCUACCGGAAAAUGCAUCCCAUGAUUCCCAAAGAGGAAAUGGAGAUGUGACGUCUUUCUGUUCCAGAAUGUCGUCUGUUUUUGCCGCCGCCUGCAUCACCUCACUCCCAUCAAACUUAAGGAGACUCCUUUCAAGCCUCCUGAGCUGUAAGGCCCUCAUCAUCCCCUCUAAUGCAUAGCUGCUGAUUGACAGCCAGCGGGCCGGUGUGACACUGAUGGCUGUGGAGGGCCGUCAUUUCGCCCAGCAAAACAUCAGCCGCCUGUCAGGGCUGUCGGCUGCUGCACUCACAAUCACCACACAAACAGGCGCGGGAGCACAAAGCAUGCUGGGAAGCCUCUGUGUUUGGAUUUUAGCCUUCGUUUGAGUGCAGAAAUGAUCUGAAGAUGGAAGGAAUGCGGCCCUGAGAUGCUCCUUUACAAAGUCUUAAAGGAAGUGACACAAAGAUCUCAGGAUGAAGAUUCACAGAGAAUCAAAUGCAUCCACUUAUAGACGGCUAGAUCCACAAACGUCUUUGUUUUCCUUUCUUUGCUCCCCAUUUCCGGGUCAUGUUGGGGGUUUGAGAGGCUGUAAGCUAGUGGGAGAGAGUGUAAACAGAGAGCUCUCAACAACAAGGAGGGGAAGGAGGAGCAGGUUUAGUCUGCAGCAAGGGUUCCGUUCAAAACUUAGAGGCAAAGAAUUACUGCCGCUCUACAGAAACUAUGUUCUAGAAUUUAUUUCGAGUUUUUUUAAAUCUAUUUUAGCUAAAAAUGGCGUCCAU